Non-coding RNA from Acanthosepion pharaonis, 100 nucleotides. NCBI's taxonomy places the organism in Eukaryota, Metazoa, Mollusca, Cephalopoda, Sepiida, Sepiidae. The record is from the annotation of a GenBank genome assembly.
UACGCCUAUAUCACGUUAAAAUACCGGUUCUCGUACGAUCACCGAAGUUAAGCAAUGUUGAGCCUGGUCAGUAAUUAGAUUGGGAAUACCAGGUGAUGUA